AGAGUUUGAUCAUGGCUCAGAUUGAACGCUGGCGGCGUGCUUAACACAUGCAAGUCGAGCGAGAAAGCUCUCUUCGGAGAGUGAGUAGAGCGGCGCACGGGUGAGUAACGCGUGGAUAAUCUGCCCUGAAGAUCGGGAUAACAGUUGGAAACGACUGCUAAUACCGGAUACCCUGCAUAUUUAACUUUAUGUGGUAAAGGUGGCCUCUAUUUAUAAGCUACCGCUUUGGGAUGAGUCCGCGUCUCAUUAGCUUGUUGGUGGGGUAAUGGCUCACCAAGGCAACGAUGAGUAGCUGGUCUGAGAGGAUGAUCAGCCACACUGGGACUGAAACACGGCCCAGACUCCUACGGGAGGCAGCAGUGGGGAAUAUUGCGCAAUGGGGGAAACCCUGACGCAGCGACGCCGCGUGCGGGAAGAAGGCCUUCGGGUCGUAAACCGCUGUCAGGAGGGAAGAAACUGUUAGGGUAUAAUACGCCCUUUCACUGACGGUACCUCCAAAGGAAGCACCGGCUAACUCCGUGCCAGCAGCCGCGGUAAUACGGAGGGUGCGAGCGUUAAUCGGAAUCACUGGGCGUAAAGCGCGCGUAGGCGGCGCAUCAAGUCACGCGUGAAAGCCCUCGGCUCACCCGGGGAAUUGCGUUUGAAACUGGUGUGCUGGAGUCUCGGAGAGGUUGGCGGAAUUCCAGGUGUAGGAGUGAAAUCCGUAGAUAUCUGGAGGAACACGGUGGCGAAGCGGCCAACUGGACGAGUACUGACGCUGAGUGCGAAAGCGUGGGGAGCAACAGGAUUAGAUACCCUGUAGUCACGCU
This 809-nucleotide ribosomal RNA is filed under the name uncultured bacterium. RNAcentral describes it as "bacterial SSU rRNA". It matches the Rfam family "Bacterial small subunit ribosomal RNA", at positions 8 to 801 of the family's 1533-position model. The record is from RNAcentral.